RNAcentral lists this ribosomal RNA (1091 nucleotides) under Escherichia coli. RNAcentral describes it as "partial 23S ribosomal RNA". It matches the Rfam family "Bacterial large subunit ribosomal RNA", at positions 139 to 1268 of the family's 2925-position model. The record is from RNAcentral. Lineage: Bacteria; Pseudomonadati; Pseudomonadota; Gammaproteobacteria; Enterobacterales; Enterobacteriaceae.
UUCGUCACACUAUCAUUAACUGAAUCCAUAGGUUAAUGAGGCGAACCGGGGGAACUGAAACAUCUAAGUACCCCGAGGAAAAGAAAUCAACCGAGAUUCCCCCAGUAGCGGCGAGCGAACGGGGAGCAGCCCAGAGCCUGAAUCAGUGUGUGUGUUAGUGGAAGCGUCUGGAAAGGCGCGCGAUACAGGGUGACAGCCCCGUACACAAAAAUGCACAUGCUGUGAGCUCGAUGAGUAGGGCGGGACACGUGGUAUCCUGUCUGAAUAUGGGGGGACCAUCCUCCAAGGCUAAAUACUCCUGACUGACCGAUAGUGAACCAGUACCGUGAGGGAAAGGCGAAAAGAACCCCGGCGAGGGGAGUGAAAAAGAACCUGAAACCGUGUACGUACAAGCAGUGGGAGCACGCUUAGGCGUGUGACUGCGUACCUUUUGUAUAAUGGGUCAGCGACUUAUAUUCUGUAGCAAGGUUAACCGAAUAGGGGAGCCGAAGGGAAACCGAGUCUUAACUGGGCGUUAAGUUGCAGGGUAUAGACCCGAAACCCGGUGAUCUAGCCAUGGGCAGGUUGAAGGUUGGGUAACACUAACUGGAGGACCGAACCGACUAAUGUUGAAAAAUUAGCGGAUGACUUGUGGCUGGGGGUGAAAGGCCAAUCAAACCGGGAGAUAGCUGGUUCUCCCCGAAAGCUAUUUAGGUAGCGCCUCGUGAAUUCAUCUCCGGGGGUAGAGCACUGUUUCGGCAAGGGGGUCAUCCCGACUUACCAACCCGAUGCAAACUGCGAAUACCGGAGAAUGUUAUCACGGGAGACACACGGCGGGUGCUAACGUCCGUCGUGAAGAGGGAAACAACCCAGACCGCCAGCUAAGGUCCCAAAGUCAUGGUUAAGUGGGAAACGAUGUGGGAAGGCCCAGACAGCCAGGAUGUUGGCUUAGAAGCAGCCAUCAUUUAAAGAAAGCGUAAUAGCUCACUGGUCGAGUCGGCCUGCGCGGAAGAUGUAACGGGGCUAAACCAUGCACCGAAGCUGCGGCAGCGACGCUUAUGCGUUGUUGGGUAGGGGAGCGUUCUGUAAGCCUGUGAAGGUGUGCUGUGAGG